This 30-nucleotide non-coding RNA is filed under the name Rattus norvegicus (Norway rat). Lineage: Eukaryota; Metazoa; Chordata; Mammalia; Rodentia; Muridae. The record is from RNAcentral.
CAGAAUAUCUCUAGUGUUACUUUGUUCUGC